RNAcentral lists this ribosomal RNA (393 nucleotides) under uncultured bacterium. Its description in RNAcentral is "partial 16S ribosomal RNA". It matches the Rfam family "Bacterial small subunit ribosomal RNA", at positions 523 to 918 of the family's 1533-position model. The record is from RNAcentral.
AUACGGAGGACGCGAGCGUUAUCCGGAUUCAUUGGGUUUAAAGGGUGCGCAGGCGGCCGUGCAAGUCAGCGGUGAAAGCCCGGGGCUCAACCCCGGAAGUGCCGUUGAUACUGCGUGGCUGGAAUGCGGUCGAGGCGGGCGGAACGUGGCGUGUAGCGGGGAAAUGAGUAGAUAUGCCACAGAACGCCGAUAGCGGAGGCAGCUCGCCAGGCCUGCAUUGACGCUCGGGCACGAAAGCGUGGGGAUCGAACAGGAUUAGAUACCCUGGUAGUCCACGCCGUAAACGAUGGGCGCUCGUCGUCGGCGACAGACAGUCGGCGGCCAAGCGAAAGCGAUAAGCGCCCCACCUGGGGAGUACGGUCGCAAGGCUGAAACUCAAAUGAAUUGACGGGG